Molecule: long non-coding RNA, 1405 nt
Filed under: Mus musculus (house mouse)
Lineage: Eukaryota; Metazoa; Chordata; Mammalia; Rodentia; Muridae
Description: RIKEN cDNA 4930581F22 gene
Source: RNAcentral
GCAGCUCCGAUCCGUUAGGCGCCCCGACUGGCGGGGCAGCACUGGCGCAGUGGCUCCGCUCGGCCCGGUCCCUGUCCCGGGAGCGGGGCCGGCCUGGGAGCGGAAACUCAAGAACAGGAAUAGAAGUCCAUCCUUCCAAUAUCCUCCCAUGCCCUCAUGGCAGUCAGUUUCCGUUCUUGCUGAAGGCGCCAGGCAUCCUGUCUCCAGAGGAAACCCCUUCAAGCCUUUAACCCUGAUGCCGUGGGCUCUAGAAUUGCCUGGACUGCAAACAGUGCAGAAACCACCCUGCAGGACUGUCCAUUUCAGGAGUCAGCACAGUGUUACCCAGUUCCUAGCUUGAGCACCCUGGGGCUACAAGGAAAGUAUUAGAUCCAGUCCCCCUUCCCCCGGAAGCUUGCUAUCUAGUUGCAGAGAAGGGGUGGCGGGUGUUGUGCUGGACUCCCAUCAAGAAACAGGCGGCACAGGAUGUGACUAAGUGGAAAAAGAAGAAGGCAAAAGAAAAACUGCUCGGGGAGAAAGAACAACUGAAAUAUGUCUGGCAAGUUGAUUCAAGAAACAGUUGCCCGGCCUCCAAACCUGGAUAAGUCUUCACCAAACUAGGUACAAAGACAAGUUCUUGCUAAAGGAGGAUACAAUUGUCCAUUGUGCUGGAGAGUGAUCUCAUGGUGCUACGUGUGGCCCUGUUCUGGUGAAGAGUGGCAGACGUCACCCUUUCUGAGGUAGACUGAGAAGUGUAAGGAAGAAGACCCAGGGGGACACACUGGAAUGCGCUACAAGUGUAGGCUUGUGAAACAAGCAUUGUGAAACAACUCACUUGUCCUUCCCGGAGAAUGUUCCUCAGUAGUGGCAGAUGCUCUGGAGUGAGAUCUCGAAGUGAUCUGAUACCCCGGCGAUGGCAGAUGGCGAUCAAAUACAGGUCAUCAAGCUGUGCAGAGACCACAGGACAAAACAAGACAAUGCUAGUUUUAGCAAGGAGGCUACCAGCCAGGGCACUCCUACCCCCCAAGGCCAAUCCAGAAGACCCUACAGCAGAGCCAAUGAGCGGGUACCCGAGGUAUGUCUGCCCUGGAUGUCAAGGGAUAGCUGAAGAACAAGAUUUCUGUGUAUUCUUUGGAACUAGGUGUGGUGGUACACGCCUGUAAUCCCAGCACUCAAGCAGAAGGACUGAGGGUUCAAAGUCUCUCUGGGCUAUACAGCAAGACCCUUUCAAAAAAGAAAUUGAGAAAGGAAGAAAAACUAUAAAACAAAAAUUUCCAUCUGGGAAUGUUUACAUAAACUAAGGAGUUGACAGGAAGAGACGGGCAAGUUCUGAAAGCCAAGCACAAAAGUCUUUGUCCUGAAGAAUUUACAACUUCACUUAAGUGCAUGUCGUUCUCCUGUAUGAAAUAAAUGUUGCAUAAAAGCA